CCACAGCAACUCUGUCUCAAAGUUUGUUUCUUGGGGAGCCUGAUUUACCGCAGAUUCAUCAGGACUCGCUGGAGUGAAAAGAGCUGGACAUCUGCCACAGCAACUCUCCAGAAAAUGGAAACAGUGUCAUUAAGAAUCCUUAGAACUCCCUGGAUAGGACAAAAGCUCAAUUCCCAGAGGCGAGAAGCCCCACAGGGUUCACCAGCAAUGUCACCUCCAGGCCAACAUGGAAAUCCCCACAGCAGAGGGAAAGCCUGGCAGAAGUCAGGCACAGUAUCCGUGGGCCAUGGAGUGGAGUAGGAGUGCCAGCCACUCCCAACAGUCACCUCAGGUGUGUGGAAGAGCAGAGAUAGAGUUGUGUAGAAACCUGACUGGUUUGAACAGAACUGUCAUACUCGUUUUGUC
This 405-nucleotide long non-coding RNA is filed under the name Fukomys damarensis (Damara mole-rat). RNAcentral's name for it is "lncRNA (ENSFDAG00000029451.1)". The record is from RNAcentral. Lineage: Eukaryota; Metazoa; Chordata; Mammalia; Rodentia; Bathyergidae.